AAGGUUCUGCCUUCCAGAGUUCACACCAUCUCACACUUCAUUGUUUCUCCCUUCCUCACAGCCAACAUCUCUUCCGGGUGGUAGGUUUAAGUCAGUCUCCGGUCGCCGUUUUUGCAAGUCUUAGAGACUGGCCCUUUUAAAAGAGGAUUCCUGACAUUUGCAUCUUGUGUCAGAACACAUGCAUUUGCAUACGUUGGAGAACCUUGAGGCUCCAGACAGCCUGAAGUUAGAAAGUGCUCAGAAGAGCAAGGCAAGCCUCCCCCAGGAGGGUAGGAAGUGGUAGGCACUUACAGUUAGUGCCAGCCAACUCCUUAAUGUCCCAGCCAAAUUCCUGGGAUGGCCAGUCCCAGGAAACCACAUGUUUUUAUGCUCAAGCUUGUAAAACAUUGUCGUAAGUAAAUCAAAUUUUUGUCCUGCCCUCUCUGCUUACCAGACCAAGAGCAGUGAUUAUGAAUGGCAAGUGGCAAGAAACGGGGUGGAGAAAAACAUCACCAGUGAAGACGGAAAUGUGUCUGAGAGGAUGAGGCCCAGAUCCCCUAGGUCCUGGCCUGGCUGACCAGCCCAGUAGCAUCUCUCUCAAUUGGAUGGUGAUCCCCAAAAAGAUAUGUCCACACCUAACAACCGGACCCUCUGAAUGUGACCUCAUUUGGAAAAAGGGUCUUUGCAGAUGCCAUUAAGUUAAAGAUCUUGUGAUGAGGAGAUCAUCCUAGAUUACCCAGGCCUAUCAGCAUCUCCUUGGACACUCCACAUCCCAUGAACCACAUCCAAAAGCGAUGGUCCUUGGUGUGCCACUUCCUGUUGAAGCUGCCUGUCUACCAGAAUUAGCCUUUUCAAAGGCAAGGCCCUGUCGGGGAAGGUGACGGGGAGCUGUCCAACCAAGACUCUGUGAAGGAGCUGAACAAACAGAAAAUCACUCUGCAAGACUCAUAGGAAUGACUCCUUAGGAGUCAUUCUCUCUGAUAGACGGCAACAAAAACAAAGGUGAUAUUGCCUCAUCAUCUUUCUUAAAGGUAGGUGUUUAACAUUUUUAAAAUCCAUGGAAGUGGACUGGGUUCGGUGGCUCAUGCCUGUAAUCCUAGCACAUUUGGAGAACAAGGAGGGCAAAUCGCUUGAGCCCAGGAAUUUGAGACCAGCCUGGGCAACAUGGCAAAACCCUGUUUCUACAAAAAAAAAAAAAAAAAAAAAAUUAGCCAGGAAGCGCACGCCUGUUGUCCCAGCUACUCAGGAGGCUGAGAUGGGAGGAUGACUUGGGCCGGGAGUUCGAGGCUACAGUGGGCCACAAUUGCACCACUGAGCUCCAACCUAGGUGACAGAGCAAGACCCUAUCUCAAAACAAAACAUACAAAACAAAACAUGGAACUAGACAAGCUCUUGCCUGAUAUCUACUUAGGAUCUCUCAGGUUUCUCCUGUUAAAAAAUACAAAUAACCCAAAAGCCACUAGACUUGAGCAAAGACAAGGAAGCGUGUGUCUAGCACAUGGCCAGCAUGCAUGGGCAUAACUGUAGUUAGAUAUUAAAACCCGAAGGCUGGUGGAAACAGUCAGCAGCCCGGUCAGUGCCCUCCCUUAUCAGAGUGAGUGUGUCUUUGAUCCCAAUGAGCCUCAGAAGCUUGAGCAGUAUAUUAGUCAUCAUUUCUACUCUAAUUAGAAAAGAUUUCUUUGUUCCCAGCCCAAGUUCAAUCAGCAUUUCUGUUAAACAGUAAAAAAAAAAAAAAUGAAGUUGGAAAAACAUUCGAGUCAUUUGGCCCAAAAGGUUUAUUUUAAAGAUGAAGAGAUGAAGUCACUUGUUCAAGACUGCACAGCUGGUUAUCAGAGGACUUGAGGGCAGAACUCAUGUCACUCCUCACUCAUAGUUCCAGGUUCUUAGAAACAAGCACUUUUCAGAAAGUGCUCAGGCCCUCACCCCAAACCUCACUGCUCCUGGAUAACCCUGCACGUGUCGAAGCUGUAGAUGUCUAAGAAAUCAAGGGCACUGGCUUUUCUGCAUUCUCCAGGGAGAAAGUUCCAAGGCACUGGGGAGCCAGGGCAGCGGGGUUUUCAAAGGCCUGCAGCGGGAGCCCUGCUCACAGGGAUGCCAUCCAGAUGUCCUCAUGUCCCCUCUGCACAUGAAAGCCUCACACUGCUCCCGUCCCCUCCAGUCCCCCCUGCCUCCCACAGCAGCAGAACUGCACGAGGCUUCCCCCAGCCCCGGGGCACACAUUCAAAACACCUAGGAACGCCGCUGGGAACUCCCGCCUGAAAGGACAGGCCGCCGGCUGCAGGGCGCUGAGAUGGAUGCAGGGACCUGCCCUUUUCCUCCGUCCGCUGGUUGCCUCCACUGGUCAUUUGCUGUGGCAGGGCAGAAGAAAACAACGAAAUCGCAGGGCACACAGAAGUCAAACUGACACAUAACCACACUCAGAGGAGAGGACCCAACUGCUAAGCAGCUUGAAUGGGAAAGUGAGAAAAGCAUGGGGUUUUCACAUAGCAGGUGGAGUUCGAUGCAAACCAUCCGGAGCGUCUUGCUAAUCAUUAGCGAUGGCACCUUUGCUCGGUUUCAAGGAGUGCAGUUUCAGGGGCAGUGUUCCCCCUUGAGAAAGAGGCGGUAAAAACAAUAUACAUUUGUUUAAGCUUAGGAUGUGAAACACACUGAUGUCAUGUCUCCUUGGCUUUCCAGGUGAAGGAUCGCGGUGUCACCUUUAGGAUCCCUCGCCUGAAGUCAGGACUCACCUGAGCAGAAUGAUGGCUUCUCAGUGAAUCCCACUUCCCACUUGCAUUUCCAGAGACAAGUCUGGUUCCUCUAGAUUCACACACACAUAAAGAAAUAGUUAUCCUUCUCCUUGCCCCUGAUCUCCCACUGAACAAUGCCUGGGAUAUGUGGGUUUUGGAGUGUCUAUCAGGAAGGAUGUGUGGAGGAUUUCUCGACCCCUAUUAUUUUCCUUUCUGUGUACAAGGCAUGUGUCGGUUGCUACCUGAGCAGAGGUGGCAGCUCCAUAUAGGCUGGCUAAGAGAAGAAAACUGUUCUCACUCAGAUUCUAUAAAUUACUCGCAUUCUCACUUUAAUAUCAAGUAUGAUAUAUAUUAGAGUGCAUGGUUUUGGCUAGAAUCAAUUUGGAAGGCUGUCAAAUAAAACACAAAAUGGGAAAAUAAAUCCAAAGGAAAAUUGAUGACAUGAUUUUACUCCCAUUACAUUCCACUUAACAAAUGCAUAUGUUUUACAAUAUCUUUAAUAAUAAUUAUUAAACAUAGUAAAAUACUUCCAAACUUGGCUCAUUGCAUAAUUGUACUUCGAGUGAAAAAAAAAUUAUCUGAAGUCUUGUCAAUAUGCCACUUCCUCCUCCCCCAGCUUUUAACAGAAGCAGCCUCCAGUGGAAUAAUCCAAGCUGUGUUCAAGAAGUUGGCAAGUAGGUCCAAUUAAAUGUGGUUUUACUGUAUUCUGGCGUUUGCAUAUCUAGUUUGCCAAGAAGUAAUCUUUCACAAAAAAAAAAAAAAGAAAGAAAGAAAAAGAAAAAGAAAAAAAAUCUGUACUGGCCCAGACACAGCCUGGAUGGUGCAAUGCUUCACAUAACUUUACCCCAUGACUAAGAUAAUCGUUUUUUCUUAAAUAGCUGUGGAAAACGUAUCAUACAUCCAUCAUACUCCUAUAUGAAUCACAGAACACCAUCCUUUAUGGAGCUUCUUACAUUUAUGCAUGACAAACUGAAAUUCAUCUUCAUAGCUCUGUUUAUUUUAAUUAUUAAACUCAAAAGGGGUUAGCUUUUAGCCACCUGAACUUGAUGUAUUUAUUCAGGUGUACUCCAGUUGGAUUAUCUGAACGAGGCUAUAAAUGAUCCUAUUGACUAUUAAAGACCGACCUGUCAAAGCUGCAGUCAUACACAUUCACAACCCUGGCUACCUGAAACUCAGAGGAUAAAAUGCUUCUCUAAGCUUUGCAAAUGAAAUCCCAGGCAGUUCUUUCCUGAUGUUUUACACACCCUUGAUCCCUUAAGGAGGAGCUGACUCGCGUAGCCCCUUCCAGCUAACCACGGCUCUACAUGAACGAUCAGCCGUAUCCAAAGUCCAGAUGGAAAGCUGUCAACAAAGAGACUCCUUCCACUCUGCCUACUACAUGAUUCAUCCCUGGCGUGAAGACAGGCCCGGAGAUGGCCCCACCACCCCGACUCCCAUAGGUGAGCCAGGAGAGAAGCACAGGUGCCCACUCCCCAAGUCAGCAGGGAGGAAUCAGGUCAGAAAGUGCUGGAAAACACACAACCUGGCCUUUGUUAGAAACCAUCAUGAGCUCAUUAAAAACACAUGCAGAAAUGGUUAAACAAAAUUCUCUAAAUCUUUUACAAAAUUGCCAGUCUAUUAGAAGGACUGAGCUCACAGCAAACUCUCCCUUCCAAUGUGUGCAAUGGAGCAGCUAAUGUCCUUUGGACUCUUGUCUAUGGCAUCAAGCAGAGGGAAGCUUGGGGCGGGGGGUUGUUUGUUUUUGGUUCUUGUUGUUGUUUUUUAACUUUUUUUAGAGACCAAACUGUGAAAUAUAUCAACCAAAAGAAUUAUUUCACUAAACAUGAAUUAUUAUAGUCAUUGCCUUAAAAAACUUACAAAAAUUACAAAGUAAAAACGGAGAUUUGGGUCAUUAUAGCAAGGGGAGAAAGAAGGAAAAAAAUAGAUGACUGUGGCUUGAAUGCUUUUGUGAGGUGGCAUUGCAUCAAAGAGCAAAGUGGACACGCUGAAUGGGAAUUCUGAAGGCAUCCAAUACGCGGCCCUGUUACGUGAAAAAGUUGGAUCGUAAGUUUGACCCGUGCAAUAUUUACCCAAAGUUUUCUUGUAAGCAGCAUUGCACAUAGCAGCAUUGCAUUCCAUUGCACUGUGGCCUUUCACCAGGUGCCUUUUUCUCCAAAUGGAUUUAUUCGCUGUGAUACAGUAUAGCCAUAGAUUUGCAUUACACCACAACGUGGGCUGCACCUGCACAUAAAAGAGCACAUAGAUGAGGCAAGGCCUGAGAUUGAGAUGCUCUGAGGUGGGCUCUGGCAUGGGCCACCUUCUCCUGGUGAGAGUGGAGUAAAUCAUUUAAAUCUCCGGGUAAAUCAUUUUAAUAUGUGUGCCUCCCAGGGGAGCUGUGCUGGUUUGUUAUUAUAUAUAUUAAUCAUACUUUUAAAAAUACUUAUGAUACAAGAGUAAACAUGAACCAACGCUUUCAGUCUUGAUUUCUUCAGCCUGAAGAGAAAAAAUAUCUGUAUCCAACUUAGCCUUUGGACUAGUUAAUCAGAUAGAAAUUUGAAAGGGCUUUGAGAGAUUUGGGAUUUGAGAAAAGAAUCACAAGUACAAUGUAAGUGAUAUGAGAUGUGUAUAGCUAAACACGUACACACCUGCAAAACCCACCUGAGGAUGCGGAAUCUUUUUCAUUACUAUGGUAUUUUAGUUUUCACAUUUCAUGCAGAAACUGCUUUCCUGCUUAAUACUGAAAUAAACUUGAAACUAUCAGUGCUUGGUGAAUUUAAAUCACAAAAACCCACAUUGAAAAAAGUCUACCUUGGUAGGAAGGCUUUAGGAUAAGGAAAAAUUUCGUCUUAGUGCAAAAAAAAAUUAUUAUUGUAAUAGUGAGGUCACCUCAAAUUUGCAUAGCAUCUUUCCUCUGAAAGCUUAAUGCUUUUGCAUAUUCAUUUUCAUGUUAUUCUAAAGAAAAAGGUGACACGGGUAUGAAUAUGCUGGUCUUACAAAUGGAGAAAUGAAGGUAUCAGGGUGGGUUUCCUCGGGUGUUUCAUUGAUAGAUCUUCCCCAACUUUCUCUUGAGCCUUCUUUCCAGUAGAUGAUGCUGAGAGGAGGUGAGAAACAUUCCAAGAAACCAAGGCCAAUUUUUAGAUUAAGUGGAAAAAUAUUCAAUUCUCCCAUUUCAGCAGCAAACAAGUUUUGAGGAUCCCGUUUGGCUGCCGCCCUCGGUCCAUGUUUCAUCUCUCCCUUCUGCACGUCCAGCAACAGCUCUGACAACCCUGCAGUGACUAGCUGCAAGGAGCAGUGCCUCGUUGUGGUUGAACAAAUAACAUGUUUUGGAAACCCAAGCAACCCUUUCGUAGCUGGAAGCAGAGAGGGAGAGUGUGUUGGUCAGGAAGAUCCUGACAGGGUUUUAGCUCUUGGUGAGCUGGAAGGAGAUGGGCCAAAACAUGUCCUCUUUGACACCAUCAGAGAACGUUCUGCUGUAUGUAUUUUUUAAAUAGU
Molecule: long non-coding RNA, 6179 nt
Filed under: Homo sapiens (human)
Lineage: Eukaryota; Metazoa; Chordata; Mammalia; Primates; Hominidae
Description: HSALNT0025114
Source: RNAcentral